This 2722-nucleotide ribosomal RNA is filed under the name human gut metagenome. Its description in RNAcentral is "bacterial LSU rRNA". It matches the Rfam family "Bacterial large subunit ribosomal RNA". The record is from RNAcentral.
AGAGCACAAGGGGAAUGCCUUGGCACCGAGAGCCGAAGAAGGACGUGACUAACUGCGAUAAGCUGCGGGGAGCCGUAAGUAGGCUUUGAUCCGCAGAUUUCCGAAUGGAGCAAUCCACAUGAAGUAGUUCAUGUAUCCAUACGUGAAUUCAUAGCGUAUGGAGGGGAACCGCCUGAACUGAAACAUCUAAGUAGGGCGAGGAAGAGAAAUCAACCGAGAUUCCGUAAGUAGUGGCGAGCGAACGCGGAAGAGGCCAAACCGAGAGAAGAAAUUCUUUCGGGGUUCGGACUGCAUUUAGUAUUCUUGAUCUUUAGUCGAACAGUCUGGGAAGGCUGACGAGAGAGUGUGAUAGUCACGUAGACGAAAAGGAGAAAGAGCGAGCAGUAUCCAGAGUACCGCGGGGCACGUGAAAUCCCGUGGGAAGAUGGGGGGACCACCCUCCAAGCCUAAAUACUACCCAAUGACCGAUAGCGUAAAGUACUGUGAAGGAACGGUGAAAAGAACCCCGGGAGGGGAGUGAAAAGAACCUGAAACUCUGUGCUUACAAGCACAUAGAGCACGUCAAUGUGUGAUAUGGUACCUUUUGUAGAAUGGUCCGGCGAGUUAUGGUAUGCAGCGUGGUUAAGGACUUCAGGUCUGAAGCCGAAGCGAGAGCGAGUCUGACAAGGGCGAAAAGUUGUAUGCCAUAGACCCGAAACCGGGUGACCUAGCCAUGUCCAGGCUGAAGUGGAGGUAAAACUCCAUGGAGGGCCGAACCGACCUCCGUUGAAAAGGCGGCGGAUGAGAUGUGGCUAGCGGAGAAAUUCCAAUCGAACCCGGAUAUAGCUGGUUCUCCCCGAAAUAGCUUUAGGGCUAGCGUUGUAUUAGAUUACCGGAGGUAAAGCACUGAAUGGGCUAGGGGCUGAGAAGUUACUGAACCCUAUCAAACUAAGAAUGCCGGAUAAUUGAUGUACAGCAGUCAGACUAUGUGAGAUAAGUCUCAUAGUCAAAAGGGAAACAGCCCAGACCCACAGCUAAGGUCCCAAAAUGGAUUUAAGUGGAAAAGGAUGUGGAAUUGCACAGACAACCAGGAUGUUGGCUUAGAAGCAGCCACUCAUUAAAAGAGUGCGUAAUAGCUCACUGGUCGAGUGACUCUGCGCGGAAAAUAUAACGGGGCUAAGCAUGAAACCGAAGCUUGGGCUUGUACUUAGGUACAGGGGUAGGGGAGCGUCGAGUAUGGGGUGAAGUCAGAGCGGAAGCACUGGUGGACUGUACUGGAGUGAGAAUGCCGGAAUGAGUAGCGAGAAUUAUGUGGGAAUCAUAAUGGCCGAAAAUCUAAGGUUUCUUGGGGAAGGUUCGUCCGCCCAAGGUAAGUCGGGAGCUAAGCUCAGGCCGAGAGGCGUAGGCGAUGCACAUACGGUAGAAAUUCCGUAACCACCGAAACUUAAACAGAGGGACACUUCGAAAUAGCGGAACCCGGGCGUUGGUUGACCCGGGCGAAAGGGAGCGAAAUUAGAGUAGCGAAGUCCGCGAUGUUCGGAGGCGAGAAAAGCUCUGAGGUAUGCUAAGGUGCCCGUACCGCAAACCGACACAGGUAGAUGAGGAGAGAAUCCUAAGGCCAACGGGAGAAGGGUUGUUAAGGAACUCGGCAAAUUGACCCCGUAACUUCGGAAGAAGGGGAGCCCCCUACGGGGGGUCGCAGAGAAAUGGCCCAAGCAACUGUUUACCAAAAACACAGGUCUAUGCUAAAUCGAAAGAUGACGUAUAUGGGCUGACGCCUGCCCGGUGCCGGAAGGUUAAGAGGAGAUGUCAGGCAACGAAGCAUUGAAUUUAAGCCCCGGUAAACGGCGGCCGUAACUAUAACGGUCCUAAGGUAGCGAAAUUCCUUGUCAGGUAAGUUCUGACCCGCACGAAUGGCGUAAUGAUUUGGGCACUGUCUCAACAGCCCGCCCGGCGAAAUUGUAGUACUGGUGAAGAUGCCAGUUACCCGCAACUAGACGGAAAGACCCCAUGGAGCUUUACUGCAGCUUAAUACUGAAAUUCGGUAGUACAUGUACAGGAUAGGUGGGAGACUGAGAAAUACAGGCGUCAGCUUGUAUGGAGUCGCUGUUGGGAUACCACUCUUGUACUGCUGGGUUUCUAACCUGCGGCCGUGAAUCCGGUCGGGGGACACUGUUAGGCGGGCAGUUUGACUGGGGCGGUCGCCUCCCAAAAGGUAACGGAGGCGCUCAAAGGUUCGUUCAGCACGGACGGAAAUCGUGCAAUGAGUGUAAACGCAUAAACGAGCCUAACUGCGACACCGACGGGUGGAGCAGUAACGAAAGUUGGAGUUAGUGAUCCGGUGGUAUGUGAGUGGAAAUGCCAUCGCUCAACGGAUAAAAGCUACCCUGGGGAUAACAGGCUGAUCUCCCCCAAGCGUCCACAGCGACGGGGAGGUUUGGCACCUCGAUGUCGGCUCGUCGCAUCCUGGGGCUGAAUUCGGUCCCAAGGGUUUGGCUGUUCGCCAAUUAAAGCGGCACGCGAGCUGGGUUCAGAACGUCGUGAGACAGUUCGGUCCCUAUCUGUUGCGGGCGUAAGAGAUUUGAAGGGAGCUGUCCUUAGUACGAGAGGACCGGGAUGGACGUACCUCUGGUGCACCAGUUGUCCUGCCAAGGGCAUAGCUGGGUAGCUAUGUACGGACGAGAUAAACGCUGAAAGCAUCUAAGCGUGAAACUCCCCCUAAGAUGAGAUCUCUCAUCCUUCA